AUGAGAGUUCUUCCUGAGUUCCUGGGGCUGCUGCUGCUCUGGAUUUCAGGUGUGAGAUGUGACAUCCAGAUGACCCAGUCUCCAUCCACUCUGUCUGCAUCUCUUGGAGACAGAGUCACCAUCACUUGCCAUGCCAGUCAGAACAUCAAGAGUUGGUUAGCCUGGUGCCAGCAGAAACCAGGGAAUUCUCCUAAACUAUUGAUCUAUGAGGCAACCAAACUUCAAAUAGGAUUCAGUGGCAGUGGAUAUGGGACAGAUUUUACUAUCUCUAUUAGCAGCCUGCAGUCUGAAGACAUUGUGAUUUACCAUUGUCUAUAGCAUGAGACCUGUUGA
Non-coding RNA from Mus musculus (house mouse), 333 nucleotides. The record is from the annotation of a RefSeq genome assembly. Lineage: Eukaryota; Metazoa; Chordata; Mammalia; Rodentia; Muridae.